RNAcentral lists this ribosomal RNA (1584 nucleotides) under Salmonella enterica subsp. diarizonae. RNAcentral describes it as "partial 23S ribosomal RNA". It matches the Rfam family "Bacterial large subunit ribosomal RNA", at positions 1234 to 2800 of the family's 2925-position model. Lineage: Bacteria; Pseudomonadati; Pseudomonadota; Gammaproteobacteria; Enterobacterales; Enterobacteriaceae. The record is from RNAcentral.
GAGCGUUCUGUAAGCCGUUGAAGGUGUCCUGUGAGGGGUGCUGGAGGUAUCAGAAGUGCGAAUGCUGACAUAAGUAACGAUAAAGCGGGUGAAAAGCCCGCUCGCCGGAAGACCAAGGGUUCCUGUCCAACGUUAAUCGGGGCAGGGUGAGUCGACCCCUAAGGCGAGGCCGAAAGGCGUAGUCGAUGGGAAACGGGUUAAUAUUCCCGUACUUGGUGUUACUGCGAAGGGGGGACGGAGAAGGCUAUGUUGGCCGGGCGACGGUUGUCCCGGUUUAAGCGUGUAGGUGUGUGUUCCAGGUAAAUCCGGUUCACUUUAACACUGAGGCGUGAUGACGAGGCACCACGGUGCUGAAGCAACAAAUGCCCUGCUUCCAGGAAAAGCCUCUAAGCAUCAGGUAACAUCAAAUCGUACCCCAAACCGACACAGGUGGUCAGGUAGAGAAUACCAAGGCGCUUGAGAGAACUCGGGUGAAGGAACUAGGCAAAAUGGUGCCGUAACUUCGGGAGAAGGCACGCUGACACGUAGGUGAAGUGAUUUACUCAUGGAGCUGAAGUCAGUCGAAGAUACCAGCUGGCUGCAACUGUUUAUUAAAAACACAGCACUGUGCAAACACGAAAGUGGACGUAUACGGUGUGACGCCUGCCCGGUGCCGGAAGGUUAAUUGAUGGGGUCAGCGCAAGCGAAGCUCCUGAUCGAAGCCCCGGUAAACGGCGGCCGUAACUAUAACGGUCCUAAGGUAGCGAAAUUCCUUGUCGGGUAAGUUCCGACCUGCACGAAUGGCGUAAUGAUGGCCAGGCUGUCUCCACCCGAGACUCAGUGAAAUUGAACUCGCUGUGAAGAUGCAGUGUACCCGCGGCAAGACGGAAAGACCCCGUGAACCUUUACUAUAGCUUGACACUGAACAUUGAGCCUUGAUGUGUAGGAUAGGUGGGAGGCUUUGAAGCGUGGACGCCAGUCUGCGUGGAGCCGACCUUGAAAUACCACCCUUUAAUGUUUGAUGUUCUAACGUGGACCCGUAAUCCGGGUUGCGGACAGUGUCUGGUGGGUAGUUUGACUGGGGCGGUCUCCUCCUAAAGAGUAACGGAGGAGCACGAAGGUUGGCUAAUCCUGGUCGGACAUCAGGAGGUUAGUGCAAUGGCAUAAGCCAGCUUGACUGCGAGCGUGACGGCGCGAGCAGGUGCGAAAGCAGGUCAUAGUGAUCCGGUGGUUCUGAAUGGAAGGGCCAUCGCUCAACGGAUAAAAGGUACUCCGGGGAUAACAGGCUGAUACCGCCCAAGAGUUCAUAUCGACGGCGGUGUUUGGCACCUCGAUGUCGGCUCAUCACAUCCUGGGGCUGAAGUAGGUCCCAAGGGUAUGGCUGUUCGCCAUUUAAAGUGGUACGCGAGCUGGGUUUAGAACGUCGUGAGACAGUUCGGUCCCUAUCUGCCGUGGGCGCUGGAAGACUGAGGGGGGCUGCUCCUAGUACGAGAGGACCGGAGUGGACGCAUCACUGGUGUUCGGGUUGUCAUGCCAAUGGCACUGCCCGGUAGCUAAAUGCGGAAAAGAUAAGUGCUGAAAGCAUCUAAGCACGAAACUUGCCCC